Molecule: ribosomal RNA, 387 nt
Filed under: Salmonella enterica
Lineage: Bacteria; Pseudomonadati; Pseudomonadota; Gammaproteobacteria; Enterobacterales; Enterobacteriaceae
Also listed under: 7 other names
Description: bacterial SSU rRNA
Rfam family: Bacterial small subunit ribosomal RNA
Source: RNAcentral
CAAGGCGACGAUCCCUAGCUGGUCUGAGAGGAUGACCAGCCACACUGGAACUGAGACACGGUCCAGACUCCUACGGGAGGCAGCAGUGGGGAAUAUUGCACAAUGGGCGCAAGCCUGAUGCAGCCAUGCCGCGUGUAUGAAGAAGGCCUUCGGGUUGUAAAGUACUUUCAGCGGGGAGGAAGGUGUUGUGGUUAAUAACCGCAGCAAUUGACGUUACCCGCAGAAGAAGCACCGGCUAACUCCGUGCCAGCAGCCGCGGUAAUACGGAGGGUGCAAGCGUUAAUCGGAAUUACUGGGCGUAAAGCGCACGCAGGCGGUCUGUCAAGUCGGAUGUGAAAUCCCCGGGCUCAACCUGGGAACUGCAUUCGAAACUGGCAGGCUUGAGUC